GACGAACGCUGGCGGCGUGCUUAACACAUGCAAGUCGAACGGAAAGGCCCUGCUUUUGUGGGGUGCUCGAGUGGCGAACGGGUGAGUAACACGUGAGUAACCUGCCCUUGACUUUGGGAUAACUUCAGGAAACUGGGGCUAAUACCGGAUAGGAGCUCCUGCUGCAUGGUGGGGGUUGGAAAGUUUCGGCGGUUGGGGAUGGACUCGCGGCUUAUCAGCUUGUUGGUGGGGUAGUGGCUUACCAAGGCUUUGACGGGUAGCCGGCCUGAGAGGGUGACCGGCCACAUUGGGACUGAGGUACGGCGCAGACUCCUACGGGAGGCAGCAGUCGGGAAUAUUGCGCAAUGGGCGGAAGCCUGAUGCAGCAACGCCGCGUGCGGGAUGACGGCCUUCGGGUUGUAAACCGCUUUCGCCUGUGACGAAGCGUGAGUGACGGUAAUGGGUAAAGAAGCACCGGCUAACUACGUG
Molecule: ribosomal RNA, 468 nt
Filed under: uncultured bacterium
Lineage: Bacteria
Description: partial 16S ribosomal RNA
Rfam family: Bacterial small subunit ribosomal RNA
Source: RNAcentral